CUGCUUUCUUUUGAUGGAUCAAGUUCAUAUUAGGAAAAGCAGUGAGUUACAAGGAUCCCCUACCAUCCAAAUCUAGUCAGUUCUGGAGCUUACACAGUGGCAGCUCAGAAGGGAACUGAAAGAGAACAAGAGAGAAGAUGGCAGGAAAGCAGCAGCAUGAAGUCAAUAUCAGAUCCUCCUUCCCUGGCCUCGCCUCAGGGUCCUUCCCUCCACAUCUGUUCCCAGGCCUGAAGGAAGGAACUCGAGAACCCACCCCAGCCACUCACCCUGUUGACGCCAAGUGAAAUUCUGCUUUGAGUGUCCACGCCUCUCCCAGAUAACUCAGUAGUAAAGUCUAAGCCCAUGGAA
Molecule: long non-coding RNA, 348 nt
Organism: Leopardus geoffroyi (Geoffroy's cat)
Lineage: Eukaryota; Metazoa; Chordata; Mammalia; Carnivora; Felidae
Exons: 2
Source: RefSeq, a predicted model, not a curated record